CGACCGGCGCACGGGUGAGUAACACGUAUCCAACCUGCCGAUGACUCGGGGAUAGCCUUUCGAAAGAAAGAUUAAUACAAGAUGGCAUCAUGAGUCCGCAUGUUCACAUGAUUAAAGGUAUUCCGGUAGACGAUGGGGAUGCGUUCCAUUAGAUAGUAGGCGGGGUAACGGCCCACCUAGUCUUCGAUGGAUAGGGGUUCUGAGAGGAAGGUCCCCCACAUUGGAACUGAGACACGGUCCAAACUCCUACGGGAGGCAGCAUG
Molecule: ribosomal RNA, 263 nt
Filed under: uncultured bacterium
Lineage: Bacteria
Description: partial 16S ribosomal RNA
Rfam family: Bacterial small subunit ribosomal RNA
Source: RNAcentral